This is a long non-coding RNA of Daphnia carinata, 3437 nucleotides long. RefSeq lists it as uncharacterized. The transcript has 2 exons. The record is from RefSeq and is a predicted model, not a curated record. NCBI's taxonomy places the organism in Eukaryota, Metazoa, Arthropoda, Branchiopoda, Diplostraca, Daphniidae.
CAUAACACACUACGGGGGUAAUUCCCCUUCCUUUUUGGCUUUUCAUUCCUCCCCUUCUCUUCUUUUUUUAUGACGACCCCGUCUGAGUUGGAGAGAGAGCGAAGCAAAAGCUCCAGAACCAGACAGAAGGGUCUGAAAACCAGACACGGACGAACCCCUCGCUCGCGUCGGUGGCAAAGCAAGUAAUCUGUUCUCGAAAUGGCGGUCUUAGUUUUUUCUUCCCCACGUUCGUUCUCCCUGGAAAAGAGAAACAAGCAAAACUUUCGCAGCAGCUGCUACGAAAUCAGGUAAUAAUAACCGAAACUACUGCUGUUUUUUUAAAGCUAGUAUUCCUCUCUCUUUUUUUUACGUGUGGGGGCUGUGCUGCUUGCGCCGUGUGGCUACAUGUGGGUGUGUAAAAGUCGUUUCUACCAUUUUUUUGGGUUCCUACAAGUCUUAACUGGGGAGGGUUGAUUAACUAGUGACUUAAAACAAUUGGUAGUUGAAUUAAUCGUAGCUAAUGUUUUCAAUUGUGGUACCGGUAAAAGUUAAUGCGGAAAUGAAUUCAAGACCAUGGUUCGGGCGAAAGGUUCAACGACUUACAUCAAAGGGAGAAGGGGUGGGAACGCGCGCGCGCACACACACGCAGAGGGUUGGAACUCUACUUGGUGGUAGCCCUUUGUUCGAUUACCAACGGCCCUGCUAUCUCCUGUCCUUUCCCUGACUAAAAAGUGGGAAAGUGGAAUGAGGGAAUAGUGCGACUGCCAGCGCCUCUAGCUGUCGAGUUUCUCAGUAGCUCUUGAGGGUCACCGCAGAAGCCGGGACAAAAAGCAGACAACUGGCUUGUUUCUCACAGUUCUUGAAACUCUUGCCCUGUUUUUUUUUCGUGCUCAUUAAAAGGCAUGGACAGCUUCCAUUUUUUCUGUGUAUAGUGAUGCAACAUUCAUGUUAAAAAUAUCGCUUGAACAUCUCGUAAAUGUACUCGCUACAAUAGUCUUGUAGAAUGUGUGGGAAGAUCUUGUCUUUUGAACUUAACAAAAAAAGAAAAGAGAUGGAUGUUCCGGUGCGGAAAUGCCAGACCUCGAAAAGCUUCCGGGUGAAUUUCUUAGACUUCUGGAAGGUCCCACAGAAAUGAUAGUACUUCUUUUAGACAGUCUUGCGUCAGCCUUUUUCUUAGGCCCCGCCUCCGUCCUUUUCCGUCAAUGUCCUGACCAUUUACGGUCCACGUCUGUGGCAUAGAAAUAUUCAAAAAUGUUAUCAUUAAAAAGAAAUUCUUUGAUAAGACGUCUACCUUUUUUUUUUAGAAAGCGUGGAGAAACCAUUAGGUGUUGCUAUAUUUACCCGUCUGCGUAAUGAUUUGGGAGGGUGUUUUUUUUUUUCUUUUAAGGAUCUAAAAGGAGAAAAGUCGAUGACCUGGGCUGAAAUGUACCCAUCGCCAGCGACUGAUUCUGACGACCUUGAAGAAAAAGGAAACAACCAGCUGGAUUAGCCAAGGACGGGGUGGAAGGUAGCAACACCCAAAUGUUACAGAGUCCUGCACGUGCCCAGUCGCAUCAUUCAUGAAACGACCUCCGUUCCGGGGCGAAAACACUUGGUCGGAUUAUUGUGUUUCGUUUCGCUUUCAGAAACAAAGUUUCUCUUCCCUUCUCCCCCCUGCGUUUUUGCCAACAGUAAAAAAAAACCUUUUGCACACACACAGAACCGGUUCGAUAACCUAAAGUUGCUGGUUGUCAUUCGAAAACCAAGAAGAAAAUGUUAAGUGGUUUUACAGCGAGGGGAAAGCCAAAGAGAGAAGUGUCUUGUCAGAAUCCAUGAUCGAGUAUAUUGGUGAAAAACAGAAAAAGGCGAGGAAGAAGGUUUCAAGUUUCACGGUGGCUGGAAGGGGAGCUUGAGGGCAGGUGGAACGGAAAUGGGUGGGAGGUUACUUUAACUAACUUAUCACGUGGCCGUGGUUUAUGAAUAUAUCAGAUGGUCCCUUUUUUUUUGUCUUCACUCGCCCACCGAUGAGUAUCUAUUUGAGGUACGUUACAGGCCACACGACAUUCGUCUGCUAGUGACGUCACUCCCCCGCUCUGCUAUAGAGGGAAUGACAUUUUUAGUGCGUGUGUGGAAGAGUCGAGACAACAGAAAUCGUUGAGUCACCAGGCCGAGUCUGAUAGGUCAACAACUGACAGAUUUCACCAUCGUGAGUCGGCAUCAUGAUUCACCACCCUCGUCUACUUUCUACAUGACUGGAGGAAAAGUUGACCACACCAUGUUGAAAUGUGUGCAAUAAAGGCGCAAUGCAAACACCUGGUGGUGUGUGAUGCUUUUGGCAGGAAUGCUGUUGCCCCGUUGAUUAGAUCACAAAAGGAAGGUCGGCCCUGACGUCGUGACGUCAUUUCGCCUCGCCGACAUUCCAGUGAUUUCCACCGAAAACCGUUUGCGUGUGUGGGUUGGCGGAAGAGAGAGAGGGAAGGAAAAGUUAGAAGGAAGAAACGAAAGAAAAAAAAAGCCAGACAGACGGGGUGUGUGGGUCCGAGAGAAAGGAGGAGCUCCCACGCCAUGGAAAGCCCGCCCACUUUUCUCUGGUUAGUGGAGCUGUGUCACAAUAGUAGCCAAAGCCAAGACUCGCUGCAGAUUCACCAACCAGUCUUCAUCCGGCUGUUCUCCCGUUAACACUUGCAUAUCUCUCGCUCUCGAGUGUCAGCCGUAAUCCUUAACUUAAGGUUUACAUUUAACUUUAAAUAUUACUUGUUUUGGUUUUUAGUGUCAUCAAUUUGAAAAUUAUUUGUGAUUUAAUCAAGUACCAUUUCUUCGACACAUAACUGGCUACUCCUCGUGCUGCGACAGGUGCUUCCGGCUGUGUUCAAUAUUGCGAGUCAGGUACCUGAAGUAGCGCGCGGAGUGGUUCGGAACGAUCGCCAUUUUACCGGUGCUGCCGCCGCCAUCCAUUCCCUCCCCUUCUCCAUUGCUUCGUUGUGAAUUCUCAACCGCCGAUUGGCCUCAUUCCCAACUUGUCAUCGAUCCAGGAUGUUAGUAAAUGCCAUAUCACCUUUAAUCUAUUGAACGAAAAAAAGAUUUGCUGUGAUGCAACUUAUUUUUGUUCCCCCGAUUUGUCACUGAGCCGUCUGGUGGAUUACGUAACGAAGGCUUUUCUUAUUAUAUUCGCUUCGUUUCAAGUGAUAAUUCCAUUGUGUUUCGUGGUUUGCAACUUGAUUUAACAAGUAGACAACGCCCAGAAAAGAGAAGCACCUGUUGUUCAUUGUACUUCAUCAGGUGCUCUGGUCAGUCGUACAUGAACGUUUCCUUCAUCUAAGGAAAUCACAUUCCCGGCACCUGCUGGAGUGCAAUUGAUGCGAAAGUGCACUUGACAUCCUUCGAUUUUCUCUGAAAUAAUGGUCAUUUUUAAUGUGGUUUAGCUGUCAUGGACUUGAUGUAAAUUUGUUGUUUUUUGAAUACAUAAAUUUCGACCUCGC